RNAcentral lists this ribosomal RNA (497 nucleotides) under uncultured bacterium. Its description in RNAcentral is "partial 16S ribosomal RNA". It matches the Rfam family "Bacterial small subunit ribosomal RNA", at positions 28 to 507 of the family's 1533-position model. The record is from RNAcentral.
GAUGAACGCUGGCGGCGUGCCUAAUACAUGCAAGUCGAGCGAACAGAUAAGGAGCUUGCUCCUUUGACGUUAGCGGCGGACGGGUGAGUUACACGUGGAUAACCUACCUAUAAGACUGGGAUAAAUUCGGGAAACCGGAGCUAAUACCGGAUAACAUAUUGAACCGCAUGGUUCAAUAGUGAAAGGCGGCUUUGCUGUCACUUAUAGAUGGAUCCGCGCCGUAUUAGCUAGUUGGUAAGGUAACGGAUUACCAAGGCAACGAUACGUAGCCGACCUGAGAGGGUGAUCGGCCACACUGGAACUGAGACACGGUCCAGACUCCUACGGGAGGCAGCAGUAGGGAAUCUGCCGCAAUGGGCGAAAGCCUGACGGAGCAACGCCGCGUCAGUGAUAAAGAUCUUCGGAUCGUAAAACUCUGUUAUCAGGGAAGAACAAAUGUGUAAGUAACUGUGCACAUCUUGACGGUACCUGAUCAGAAAGCAACGGCUAACUACGUG